This 465-nucleotide ribosomal RNA is filed under the name Vreelandella stevensii. RNAcentral's name for it is "partial 16S ribosomal RNA". It matches the Rfam family "Bacterial small subunit ribosomal RNA", at positions 338 to 795 of the family's 1533-position model. The record is from RNAcentral. Lineage: Bacteria; Pseudomonadati; Pseudomonadota; Gammaproteobacteria; Oceanospirillales; Halomonadaceae.
CCUACGGGAGGCAGCAGUGGGGAAUAUUGGACAAUGGGGGGAACCCUGAUCCAGCCAUGCCGCGUGUGUGAAGAAGGCCCUCGGGUUGUAAAGCACUUUCAGUGAGGAAGAACGCCUGGUGGUUAAUACCCAUCAGGAAAGACAUCACUCACAGAAGAAGCACCGGCUAACUCCGUGCCAGCAGCCGCGGUAAUACGGAGGGUGCGAGCGUUAAUCGGAAUUACUGGGCGUAAAGCGCGCGUAGGUGGCUUGAUAAGCCGGUUGUGAAAGCCCCGGGCUCAACCUGGGAACGGCAUCCGGAACUGUCAAGCUAGAGUGCAGGAGAGGAAGGUAGAAUUCCCGGUGUAGCGGUGAAAUGCGUGGAGAUCGGGAGGAAUACCAGUGGCGAAGGCGGCCUUCUGGACUGACACUGACACUGAGGUGCGAAAGCGUGGGUAGCAAACAGGAUUAGAUACCCGGGUAGUC